AUGAGUAGGUGGCCACAGCCCAGCCUGGAGCCUGCUAGAGAACCAAGACAAAGCCCUGCGGAGACCAGGAGCCCCGGCUCGCCUGCCAGCAGCCGGGAGGAUGCCUCCGAGCGGAGACCGUGCCUCAGCGAGUGGCAGCUUCCCCCUUUCCUGGUUAUCCUGGUCUACUGCCUGUCCCAGGCCCUGUGGGUAAAGAUCUACACCCCUCUGCUGGGCCUGUCCGUGGCCGUGGCCGACCUGGCUUCCUACUCCCUCUCCAUCUCGGUGGUGUGGUUCUACAUUCUGUGGCGGAGCAGCCUCCAGACGGCAGGGGCUCUCACUCUCAUCUUGGCCCGGAAGUUCUGUGGGGAGGUGGUGAUGCCCACGUGCCAGGCCGCGCGGCAGCCCUGGCUGGAAGUGAAGGCCUGGUCCCUGGCCUUCUUGGGUGCCCUUCUCUGCUGGGCCUGGGGCUGGGCCUGGAGCCUGCAGAGAAGCCUCGGCCAGCGGGUGGGCACGGCUGCGCGCUCCUGGGCGACAAGGGCUUACGGCAGCCUGGCCAGCUUCUGCCAAGAGAAGGGUAAGGACUGCGAAGUCAUCCUAAGCAGCAUCCUACGACACCUGUUUUCCACCUUGCUCCUGAGCUGCCUACACGGCUUCUGGGAUGUUUUCUUUCGGUGGGUCAUGGCCCUCAGGGACAAAUGCGGCUGGCUCCUGCACGGUGCCAGGCCCUGGCGGGGGCGCUGCUCUGCCCAGUUCUCCCUGGAAGCCUGCGUCUCCAGCCUCUCGAGCAGCAGCGUCCCCCUGAGCCAGCGCUUCCCGGGGCCUGACCCCGCCGGCCUCCCCUGGCGCUCCCCGGACUCCAUGCGCCUCAGCUUCCUGGUGGUCCGGAGGAACCCGGAAGAGGGAGCCCAGGGCUGCCCGUGGGCAGGCAGCACCCAGCUGCCUCUGAACACCAGGUUUCAAAGGGGGUCGGCCCUCUCCCCAUCCGCGCAGACCCUGGUUCUGCAAGUGAAGACUGCCUGUGUCCUGGUCAUCCUGCUCUAUAUCUAUGGGGUAGCUCUCUUUAUUCAGAUCAUAAAAUAA
Molecule: long non-coding RNA, 1062 nt
Filed under: Monodelphis domestica (gray short-tailed opossum)
Lineage: Eukaryota; Metazoa; Chordata; Mammalia; Didelphimorphia; Didelphidae
Description: lncRNA (ENSMODG00000046762.1)
Source: RNAcentral